CAUAAAAAUAUUGAUUUUUAUCAAUUUCACGAACAAGAUCCAAGAAUAAGAUUAGUUGAUGGAGGGGGAGGGGUAGAUCUGGGGAUCAACCAGUAGCGAGAGAAGGGAUCGCUAGCAUUACUAGAAACUUAUAUUGCCCACACCUUGUUUUAAACAAUGUCUUCAACAAAUCAAACUCCUUCACCUUAAGUUGGUCAGAUGUCAAAUCAAUCUUCGAAAAC
Molecule: long non-coding RNA, 221 nt
Filed under: Gossypium barbadense (sea-island cotton)
Lineage: Eukaryota; Viridiplantae; Streptophyta; Magnoliopsida; Malvales; Malvaceae
Description: long non-coding RNA (GBAR_LNC005406)
Source: RNAcentral